UUUAUAUAUUUUUAUAUACAUUUUAAAUUUAUAAAAUUGAUAAUUUGUCAUAUUAAUAUCCACCAAAACUACACGAACCUGUGGUAUGAGAGACCAACUUCCACCUUUUUUUUUUUUUUUUUUCCUCUCUUUGUAAAGGGUUUCCCCCUCUUAACACACAAAGGUCAAAAUCUUCUAAAGAGUGAUCAGAUUAUGUAGGAUUGCUACACACUAAAGCCCCUCGGUAGCAGUGGCGUGCACUUCAUACAUGCACAAAAGCACUGCCUACCCCUAAAAUAUAUAUAUAACUCGUAUAGGAGGAGGAUUUUGCCGUUUUACGCAAUUUAUAAUUUUUCGCUGUAUUCACCCUGGUAAGUAACUCAGUGCACGCCACUGCUCGGUAGCGACCCUCAACACAUACUGGUAGGCUUCGGGAUAUCUCUAACUUGCACCUAAUAGCUACAAGUAAACGCCACGAAGAUUUCCCAAAAUACGUUUUGGCUGGCUGCUUUAUUUGCCACACAGAUUUUUCUGGAUUUAGUGAUAUACAAAUUAAGCUCAGUGUUCGUUGUUUAAUUUAGAGUUUCUUAUCUUAUUAAUUAAAUAUAUAAAACGGCUCAAGCCACGUUGAUUUUCGUCGGAAUACGCUGCUAUAUUUUCGCUAGCUAUUUGGCACCACUCGGUACAAAGCAAAUAUUUUAUACCGUUCUAUAUAAUUUAUUCAUAUGAAUUUCAUUCACAACAGUUACUUUUUUUUAUAUUUGUAUAUAUUAUCUUGCAUUUAUUACUUGCUAUGCAUAUUGAACUGCGCUCUUAGCUCUCCAGUGCAUGUUUGAAGAUAGAUGGGGGCUGAUUUACGAGUUGGGUACAUCUGUAACACGCCACGUCACGCGUGUUGAGUUAGAUCAACGUAAGUAAAAUCCCCAGGCUGAUAAGAAUAUGUAUGUUCUUUUUUAAUAUGACUUUUUGACAACUGCCUUUGGAGUCAGUGGGAGACUAACUCCAAAGGCAGCUGUCAAAAAGUCAAAAAAUUAUUUUUCUCGUAAUUAAUAGUUGAUCUCUGAAGAAUUAUGGUAUUUUAAACGGUUCACUUACGUAAUAUUUGAUCAAUCUAUUGAAUUACUUAGUUGAUUUAAUGUACACUCGGUGUUAUAACUAAAGUUAUAUAUUUUUCAUAGUUAUUUUGUUUCUUAUCUUACCCACCGUAUCUAAAGAUAAAUAAUAGGAAAGAAAUUUGGCUAAUCUCAAGUAACUUUUUUAUUUUUAUUAUUGUUUUAAUAUUAAUCUUUUCAUGUGCCCCGUCACUUCACUCGCGUACAACUUUCGAUAAGAAAAUUAUAUAUAAAUAUACCCCAACCCACCGCUUCGCAUCGUCCCCCAGCGCCUACGCUAUUUAGUAUUUCGUUUGCUCAGUUAGAUAUAUUAUAGAAAACUACAGUAGUUUAUGGAAAUUUAAAAACGUUUAUUAUUUAAUUUUUAACAUAAUAUAUACACAGUAUGACAUUUGCACGAUCGCAAUCGUAUAUUCGUUUUUGAGUAACGAAAUACAAUGAGGACAAAAGAGAAUAAACCUAAUGGUAGUAGAUUUAAAGUAGUUUAUACUGAUUUAAAUUUUACAAUAGUUCCGUAGGCUGAAGUGUAGGAGUGUUUGAGCUUAAAAUUCGCGUUUUGAUACUUAAAAACGGACAAUCGUGCAAAUAUUAUUCUAGGUACAGUAUAAGAAACCUAGCUCACAAAAGUGCCCUAUUAGUGGUUAAACUAAUUCAUAUAACUAUAAUAUAAUCAGCCCUCAUUUACAAAUGACCAGUGGUUUCGUCAAUUUGGUUAUAUUUUUUGUUUGCUUGUUGAUUGUUACUUGUUACAGAUACUAACCAUUUCUUUCUUUGUCUAUUAGUAAUUCUAUUUAUACACUUAUAAAUACUAUAAUAUGUAAAAUAUUUGAAACGUAGCUUUGUAAAUAUUGGUCAAGUUUUGCCAAAUAUAUAAAAAUAUUUCACAAUUAUUGUGAACAUAGAAAUUUAUGAAUUGUAAUCUAUGAAAAUGUAAAUCACUAUCCGAAUUGUACAGUCUAUGGAAUUCGUUCUGGUUUUUUUAAAAAUUUAUUUAGAGCAGUACAAAAUAGUCUUUUAACUAACUUUAAUCGGGUCCUUUGCCCACGAAUUUGCGCUGGAGCGGCGUGGUGAGUCGAAGCUAUAAAGCUAAAGCCUUAUUUUACGAUGUCUUAGUCUCUCCUCUCUCCUUUGAGCUAUCCUUUCACUGCUGUAUAACUUAAGGCUACCUUUCAAUGCGCCAAAUAAGGGCGAGGAUGCUACAAAUCGUCGCCAUUGGUGCAAAGGGAGGCCUCAAUAUCCUAAAGUUAGGAAUAGAGCUUCUUUAGGCAACCUUUAAAUACGGUAUAUAAAAAGGAAAUAAAGUAGUUCGCCCCUUUGAUCUCGUGGUAAAUGGCGACAACGUUAAGAUCUUCACCUCGCAUUUACUGCUUUGUUUAGGCGGCUCCUUUGGACCACUGCUUAAAGACUCGAGCUCAAGGCUUGCAAAGGCCGCACGCCCGCUCCUACGCACACGAAGGCAGGUCGCGCCGCAAAGCAAUGCUUCAAACAGUUUUUAAGCUGCCCACUGACCUCUAUUAUUAACUCACUGGACCAGCCAAGCAGUGUCAAUAACAUCGUUUUAUAAAUGACAUUUUAGGUUUCAUAUUAACCCAUUUUACGCCAUAUCUAUGACAAACUAAUAUUAAAACUGAUUUUGGUAAUUAUGAUUUACCAAAAUCCGUUUUAAUACCGUUACUACCGUGUUAUAACCGUACUUUGCACAGUCAUAUAACAGCGUCCUACGUGCAACGCUAAAAUGGCGGCAAUCAAAAAGUUAAAAAAAGAACAAAGUGACAGGCUGCUUUCACUGAUAGUAACAAUAGACGUCAGUGACCUGCUAAAAUUAAAUUGACCUAAUGAUAGAACGAUUUUUACCAUACUUUGUCGCGGCCUUCCUUUGUACGAUAGCCAUAACAGGCUGAUUACCUAUUAGUUGCUCAAAUGUGAGCUUAGAUAUACAAGACCCAAGGGUCUGCUCAUAAAAUGAUUUUUCACAAAAUAUGUAAGGCUAAAAAUAUAUGAAAUUAUUAUGUACACCUACUUUAUGUCAAAAGCUUAUUGAAUUGUUGUUUAUAAAUGGAUGUUGUAUAAAUGGAGUCAGAUUUAUGUAUUGUUCCAUUAGUGAUUUUCUACUCAUUGUCUUUAAUAAAUGUUCUAAGAACAA
Pararge aegeria (speckled wood butterfly) is the source of this 3234-nucleotide long non-coding RNA. RefSeq lists it as uncharacterized. The record is from RefSeq and is a predicted model, not a curated record. NCBI's taxonomy places the organism in Eukaryota, Metazoa, Arthropoda, Insecta, Lepidoptera, Nymphalidae. The transcript is spliced from 2 exons.